This is a long non-coding RNA of Oncorhynchus keta (chum salmon), 7239 nucleotides long. RefSeq lists it as uncharacterized. The transcript has 2 exons. The record is from RefSeq and is a predicted model, not a curated record. Lineage: Eukaryota; Metazoa; Chordata; Actinopteri; Salmoniformes; Salmonidae.
GGAAGAAAUGGGUUGAGGGAGAACAGAAUUCAUCCUAUUUCGGUAGACUUCAGAAAUGUCACUCUACAAAUAACACUAUCCAUAAGUUAAACAUUGGUGUUAUUACAGAUGACCAAAAUUAAUCGCUAAAUACUGUAGCAAUUUUUACAGAAUUGUAUAGCUCUACGUACUGUCAGGAAUCCACAGAUAUGAUUUUUGACUCCACUGAAUAAUGUUCACUCUAUCAGUGAUAUAGAAUCUAAACAGUGUGUACCCAUCAAAGUUGAGGAGAUUAUAGUCUAUCAAACAUCCGAAGAACAAUAAAUCACCAGGUGUUGAUGGAAUUCAGCAGAAUUGUACAAAUUAUUUUCUGAACAAGUAGCUCCCUUCCUAUUUGAUGUCUUUUUAGAGUAUUAAAAACAAUGCUCUCCCUCCUACAAUGAGUCAGUGGUUAAUAACACUGAUACCUAAGCCUAAAAAAGUACUGCUCAUCGAUAACUGGCCUCCAAUUUGUAGUCUUAAUAACGACUACAAGAUAUUAGCCUUACUACUUGCAAAAAUAAUUAAAGAAGUCCUGGAUGCAAUCAUUGAUGAAACACAGUCUGGCUUAAUGAGGAACAGACAUUUCUAACAAUAUCAGACUAGUAUUAGACAUACUUGACUACUCUGACCUAAUAACUGAGGAUAGCUUCAUAUUUUUAGAUUUUCAUAAAGCAUUUGACACAGUAGAGCAUCAGUUCCUCUUCCACUCCCUUGAGUGACUUGGCUUUGGGGAUUUUUUUUCUAUAUGGCUAUUAAGACUCUAUACAAAUGGUAACAGCUCUAUCAAAUUAAAAUAUGACGCCUAGAUUUGAGUUAAAGAGCAGAAUUAGGACAACCUUGCUUAUCUCUCUGUACCUGUUUUUAUUAAUCACACACAUUCUUUAAAUAAUAGUCCUGUACAAGGUAUUUCCAUAGCUGGUAAAGAAAUUGUUAUAAGCCAGCUGGCUGAUGAUACUACACUUUUUUUUCCUGAAAGAUGCUAACCAAAUACCCAUAUCGAUAAAUUUGAUACAAUCCUUUUCCAAAGCGUCUGGUCUAUAUCUUAACAUUAAUAAAUGUGAACUCAUGCCUGUCAAAGAUUUGUGUGACUCCUUCAUAUUAUGGUAUUCCAGUAAAAUAACUUACCUUAUUAGGCAUAGCCAUUACAAAAAAUCAGAAGUCUAGAGGCUUACUAAAUUUUAACCCUCUUAUUUACAAAAAUAAAAUAAUAAUAAAUAAAAAAACAGAAGAAGCUAAAUCAAUGGCUACAGAGGGACGUAUCUUUUAAAAGGAAGUCCUAAUAACUUCAGCCUUGGUUAUCUCUAGACUAACAUAUGGUUAUCUCUAGACUAACAUAUGGCACUCUAUCUUUUAUAUCUUGACAGUAAAAUAAGCAAGGAGAUAGACCAGAUGAUUUUCUACUUUCUGUGGAGAAACCAUACCCAUUACAUUAGGAAAACUGUUGUAUUGAACACUUAUGAGAAUGGCGGGCUGAAUUUUCUGGACUUUACUACCUUAAAUAAUAGUUUAAGAUCAAUUGUAUAAAACAAUUCCUAAGAAGACACUUCUAUGUGUAAUUUUAUUCCUCAUGUCUUCUCUACAUUUGGUGGCCUUAACUUCAUGUUGGUUUGCAAUUAUAAUAUUGACAAAGUUCCAGUGAAACUUUCUGCUUUUCAUCGGCAGGUUUUCUUGUCAUGGUCGUUAAACCCCUUUCAUGCUUGAGUUUCAAAUAUCUCUAACUGUCGCACCAGCGUGAGUUUUUUUAAAAAUUUUUUAAUUUUUUCUAAAUGCACGUGAUGUUAGCAUGUUCUCUCCAUUCCAGAAUGCGAUUGAUACGUAACAGUGCAUUUAACCCGUGCUGCCCUCAAACUAAAAGCACGCAGCCCGUUUUUAUUUAUAGGCUGUUUCAACUUUAGUUUCAAAUGAAUUUCUAAGUUUUUAUUUUCUAAGAACAGUUUGAAUUUAGGUGUGUUCCACCUCAUCCAUUCUCAUAAAAAUGAUCAUUUUUACUUUUGUGGACAAUUUAAUAUUUGGGACAUUUCUGACCCAGACAAAAUUCCCAAGCACUUCCCAAUUGUUUGUGCAGUUCCAAGUCUGCAGACAUUUGCUCAUCAUUUGCACACGUGUUCACAUUUUCCAUCUGUUGUCCUCAUUGCAGUCAUUGUUUUCGUUACUAAUAAUAACUUUGGAAAUGUGUGCGUUUCUAUCAAAGUGAAUUAUUACGUUGUAAUAGUUUCUGUAUGUCGUUUCUAUUGUAGCAUACUGUAUGUAUAGAGCAUAAUAUAUUUGUGUAUAUUCUUUAUAACCGCAGACACGUGAGGUAACGUUACUCAUUUUAUAACCUUCAUGGUGUUCUAUUCAAUCGUGCUUAUGCAGCUAGCUACUUCUAUCAGCUCUGUAAAACAAUGCUAAUUGCGUCAGAGAAGUAUUAUCUUGUGAUGUAUUUUGAAGCUACAUGACCUUAUGACUCCCAAGUGGCACAGCGGUCAAAGGCACAGCACAUCAAUGCUAGAGAUGUCACUACAGACUCCCUGGUUCAAAUCCAUGCUGCGUUUCUAUCAAAGUAAGUGCCUUAUUAUGUUAGUUUCCGUAUGCCGUUUCUGCUGUAGCUCACUAUGUAUGGAGCAUAAGAUAUUUGUGUAUAUUCUUUAUAACCGCAGACACGUGAGGUAAUGUUACUCAUUUUAUAACCUUCAUGGUGUUAUAUUCAAUCGUGCUUAGGUAGCUAGCUACAUUCUUCCAUUAGCUCUGUAAAACAAUGCUAGUUGUGUCAGAAGUAUUAGCUUGUGUUGUAUUUUGAAGCUACCCUGGCCUUAUGACUCCCAAGUGGUGCAGCGGUCUAUGCCACUGCAUCUCGGUGCUAGAGGCAUCACUACAGAUAGCCUGGAUUUGAACCAGGGUGUGUCACAACUGGCUGUGAUUGGAAGUCCCAUAGGGCAGCGCACAAUUGGCCCAGCGUUGCCCGAGUCUGGCCGGUGUAGGCCAUCAUUGUAUAGCUCUGUUCUGCCCUGCCUUGACCCCUUGUGGAGCUCAAAAAAACCACAAACAGUAUUUGCCAAUAUCAUAACUGGAAUUGGACAUCUUUGGAGCUGAAGAAUAAGGACAGCUAUUGUAUGCUAACCUACACUCCUUGAAAACACAGCAAGAAAACACACAGGCCAAUAUGUAAUAGUCGUCUAUUUUAUUGCAGUAUUGGUAGUUGGUUCAACAACAACAACUUGUUGUACUAGAGGACAAAAAACGGAAUAUGCAUAACCCAUAUUUAAUAUUCAUGCAGUGACUGAACAACAACUGCAUUUCCACCCCCAUCUCUAAAGGCAUAGUAUCAUGGCAGGUCACCUGUCAAGUCACCUGUCAGGUCAGUCAGUCACUUAUCGCUGCAGAUGUGCUCAAUAAUGCUUGAGCAUGUGAUACUCCUCAAAGCAUGGUGAAAUACAUAGAGGUGUAUCACAAGCAACUAUCUUGAGCAGCAGUUUGAGGGACUUUGCAGGGAGAAUGCUGUGUAGUGAGGCGUAGGGGAUUGUCUACAGCAGGGCGACCCCCAGUGGAUGGGCGCCGAGGGGUGUGGUGCUCCUCCAGCAGUUCUCUCAUGAGCUUCUCUCUGUACUUUUGGUAGGUAAUUACUUUACCUAUGAGGAAGUGGGGAGGAUGAUGAGGCAGUGGGUAGGUGGGUGAGAUACGGUGAGAACAGUACAUCCAGUUACAAAAAUACCUUGUUCAGUAAUCAUCUCACCUGGUAGUUGGCGGUGAACUAUGCUGCCGUUGAGGACAGCAGUGUCGACCAGAUGGAAAAAAUAUCUGCUUAUACCACUUGGUCAUAGUGCAUUCCACAAAGCUGUUUAUCAUGUCUGCCUUAUCCACGGCUCCCAUUUUGAGGAGAUAGUCAAGCACACAAUCUGGUUUGAUCUUUCUCUCUCCCGUCAGGUGGUCCACCUUCCCUGUGGCCGACAUGGUUGCUGUAUGGACAGUGGAGAGGACAAGGACGUCUUGUUUGUCAUGCCACUUUACUGCCAGCUGUUGACCGUUCUCCUGGAACUCCACCUCCCCUCUCUGCAUCUUCCUGCAUCCGUAUGCCGGCAUCCCCUUCCUGUUCGACCUGACUGUGCCACAGGCCCCUGUGCUGUUGGAGAGCAGAUGCUGUGGAAGAGUGUGGGACUGCUGUACCAAUUGUCCACGUAAGUCCCUUGCCGAGAUGAGGAGCCAGCAUGGUUAUCACCACGGACCCGGACACCCCAAGCCCCUCAUAAUGUUGGAUGUCAGUGGUGGACCCUGUGUAUACUAUAAUAUCCUAGACAAAUCCUGUCUUCACGUCGCACAUGACAAAGAACUUCACUCCAAACCUGUGCCUUUUGGCGGGAAUAUAUUGACAGAACGCCAGCCUACCUUUCCAUAACGUCAGGGACUCAUCAAUUCAUAGUUCCUUUUAUGGCACAAAGACACGACCAAAUGCUGAUGUCAGGCUGAUAAGAACAUUUCUUAUUUUGUGUAACGGGUCAUUUAGGUUGGCAGUAGCAUUGUUGACGAAAUGCAGGCAUCGCAGCAGAACUAGGAAGCGGUCUUGGGAAAAGAGGUUUGCAAAGAAGGGAGUUGCAAACAUAGGAUCUGUGCUCCAGUAUUCUCUUAGGGAGUUCUUUACUAUUCCCAUGAGAAGGACUGGCACCAGGAAGGUAUACAUUUUACUAAUUGUGGUUGUCACCCAUUUAGUGAGUUUCCCCCUCACUACUGGCUCUCUUCUGUAGCUCCAAGGCAUAGCGAUUGGUCCCCUCUACUGUUUCCCACCAACUCCUCUGUCAGAAACCACUUGAAGCACUCUGCCUCAGUUGGAAAUGGCAAGGGGCGUUGCACUCCAGACUGCAAACAGCAGGGCCAGGAGGGGUGAAAUGACUGGCGGCCUUCCAGCUACCACAGAACUCCUGUACUUCAUCCACUGUCUGUCUGCCUCCAUCACCACCAGCAUCUUCAAAGGGACCUGGUACUUCGUCAGUGGACAAGGGAAAUUCAGAUUCAGGGUUCUCAAUGGCUACAAGGUUGGGGGGCAGCUCCUUACUGUCAGAUUCCUGACUUUCAGACUCAUUGUCAUAAUUUUAAAGAAUCUCCAGAAUUUCCACAUUUGUGAGUUGUCUCCUUUUCAAAGACAUUGCUAAUGCUACAGCUUAGCUCACUAGCUACAUACAUAAACAACAACACUGAAUGGCCCAGAGUGAGAUGGUACGUGGUUGACUGCCGGCACGCGCCACUUGUAUCAAUAAAUCACUAUCAGAAAAUGUUUCGUGUGGCGAUUUAUUUGUGUAUUUACUGUCUUGUUCACAUGUUUUCAAUUCGAGGUGAAAAAUCAUGCAUUCCGAUUCUUGCAUAGAUUGUAAUGGGCACAUAUGUGUAAAAUACUUUUUUGAAGGUUGUACUGAUUAUGAGCUAAGCCAAUUCCAGCUGUGUAGCCAUGUUUGUUGACAUGCAAUGCAUUCUGGGUUUCACGUAAUUGUCUGUUUGACCAAAGAUGUUAUAACAAAAUGAAGUGUUCACUCAUUUUUUUGAGGACUUACGGAAAUGAAUGGUGGGAUGUGAACGACGGUAGAUGACACACCCCUUCAACAUUCAUACUAUAAACAGACCAAACUCAUCUUGUCAUCUUCGGUUUCUGCGAGGAAAAAAUGCAUGGCUGCGCGCUGAAACUAAUCAUUGGAUUAUUUUUGAUUUCUAGAAAGUGUUUUACCUAAUUAUUUCGAUCAAUGGUGAGCUCACCCGUGAUGUGAUUAAUUAUAUAUAGUAAUUGCUAUUAGCUAAUUCAUAUUGUAGUUUGUCAGCCGAGAGUUAGAAAAUAUGACUGCUUGUGUUGGGUCGAUCUUUCCUCAGCGCUAGGGCAAAUGUAGCCUACAUUUUUCUGGUUAGGAUGAUUGUGUUAUGCUAUAGAUCUUCACAGAAGUAUAUGAACAUUGCAUCCAAAAAUAAGCUGCUUACAUUCUGGACAUUUUUAUUUAUUUCACCUUUAUUUAACCAGGUAGACAAGUUUAGAACAAGUUGUCAUGUACAAUUGCGACCUGGCCAAGAUGAUAAAGCACAACUUUGUAAGGACUGUGUUUGUGUAAAUAGUUUCUGAAAAAAGUGUGGCCAGCUCAAAUGCUUAUUGUUGCGUCAUUCGAAACUGGCCGUUCUAAAUGAGUGUUCUAAUCACAUGGGGUGUGAUCAUACGCUUCAGGGACCACUGUAGAACGAUCACACCCGUGUGACGGUACGUGUGAAAGGGUUAAUUUAUAAGCAGAAUUUUUCUCCACACAUUAUAUAUGGAACCAUCUGGAUAUAUUGUAUAAAAAGUAUUCCUUGUUUUUAGAAUAUAAGUUCUGAAAUAAUAUCCUAUUGGUGAGCCAACUGGUAAACGCAGAGGGUAUUUUACUCAGUUAUAAGGAAUUCUUAUCACUUUACAAGGUCCCUGUAACACCUAAACAUUUUGCAAUUGUCUUAGAUGCCUUUCCCUCAGGUGUUGCUUUAUUAUUCAGGAACCCUCAGAGCCUACCUUCUGUUGACCCUGUUGACUCAUCAGUAGGAAAGACCUGACCCUCAGAGCCUACCUUCUGUUGAACCUGUUGACUCAUCAGUAGGAAAGAUUUGUUUCUCUUUUGGUCCAUUCAAAAACAGAGCGAUACGAUCCUUGUUUCAGCAGGAUACCUUAUGUCAUGCCUUAUUGGAAUGGAUUUAUUGAUAAUAUCUGUUGCAAAAAUCUUUGGCUGUUGCCAUACACAUUUUAAGGAAGUUUUGUUUUUAAAAAUGUUCAUAAAUAUUAUCCUGCCAACCACUACAUGAAGUUUAAGGAAAACAUCAACUCAAAUUGCUCCUUUUGUAAUGACCACCCAGAAACAGUGUUGCAUCUUUUUUGGCAUUUUAUUCAUGUAAGAAAACUGUGGCAAGACAUCAGAUUUAUAAUUGAACACAUUCAUGAGGAUCUUGCACUAUUGUAGAGAGAUGUACUGCUUGGAUUCUUUACCUAUGAUAGAAAUAAGCUGAAACAUUUGUCAUUAAUUUCAUUAUUCUUUUGGCCAAAUUUCAUAUUCACAAAUGUACAUUUACAAGCAAAACACAUUUUCAUACCUUACAAAAAGAAAUGGAACUGUAUUUUAAGACAAUUAAAUACUCUAACAAAAAAGCUGUUAGAAUAAUAAGUAUGUCCCUUAAGGUCCUUGUGUAAUGUGAUAUUGUACCCCCUAGCCCCGUCCCUAGCCCAAUUGUCCUUUGUAUAUUAUUUAUAUA